Schizosaccharomyces pombe (fission yeast) is the source of this 1119-nucleotide non-coding RNA. NCBI's taxonomy places the organism in Eukaryota, Fungi, Ascomycota, Schizosaccharomycetes, Schizosaccharomycetales, Schizosaccharomycetaceae. The record is from the annotation of a GenBank genome assembly.
UUAGUUUUGCGUUCGAUUUAAUUUUUGGUACACACGGGAUAUAACAGUUUGAUUAAGCAUUACCAAUAGAGCAAUGCAAGUUAAGAGGUUGUUUAAGCAUGUUGUUGUCUAAGAGACUCACAAAAAGGUAGGUAAAUGGAUUUAUUGCUAAACGGAAAAUAUUGAUUUGAAAAUUAAAUUUUGGUCGUACAUACUUUAUUCGUAACAGAUUUCAUCAAAAUUUUCACCUACAAAACAUUGGAACUCAAAGUGUGACUGAAUUCACAAUAAGUAAAUAAUUACACUUCAUAGCAUACGAUCCAUUAUUUUUUUAUAGGUAAGGAAUUUAUUAAACUUUCCUUGAUACCAAUCCUCUUCACAUAAAUAUUUAUUUAGCGAUCGCGUCGUUUUCCAGCGGACGUAUGAUUAAUAGUUUGGUAAAAUUGGUUUUUUAAAGCUUAGAACGGAACGGUUUAAUAUAACAAAACCACGAAACAAUGGGUUUUUCGUUUUCCAUCCUUUUUUAAAAAAGUUCAUCACUCUCAACAGUGAAUGCCACUCUCUCUCUAAAAAAAAACAGCGAUUUGCUAAAUCCUUUAGACAGGAAUUACAGCUUCAUCACGUAGUUGAUAUCUAGCCGUACACGUCUAUUUACCCUCUCCAUCUAUCCUACCGUGAACUUGUUAAAAAUUGGGAUCGCCCGUUUUUUGUCAACAAAAACAAAACAAACUCUGUCGCAGUAUUCAUUAAAAUGUCUCCGGAUCCACACGAAAGCUUUAAUGGUUAUUAAAGGUUUUCAUCAUCCGUACAUUCACUUGCUAAACAACGUUUUCAAGCUAAGCGAUAGAUAGAGACAGUAAAGGGGAAAACGUAAACGAACGUCUUCAUUAACCAAGGUCAUCCGUCUACAAAAUACCCUGUACAUAUUCGCACCAAAUUAGCGAUAAUGACUACAAGCGAUCACAGUUGUCAAACGGGAUAAACGAAAUAUAUGCUUAAUUUGAUAAGACGACAAAUUAAAUCAAGCUCAAAAGAAGAUUUAUAAAGUACGCCAUGCUAAAAAAAAACCCCUUGCUUCCUGACAUCGUACAAAAACUAAACUGCUCACAAAUAUACUAAAUAAUAAAUAAAUUAGUUAAC